UUUUCUACGGUGGCCCAGACGCGACAGCACAAAAACAGUUUUUGUAUUUUUUGAUUUUUUGAUUUUUUGAUUUUUUGAUUUUUUGAUUUUUUGAUUUUUUGAUUUUUUGAUUUUUGUAUUUUUUGAUUUUUUGAUUUUUGNNNNNNNNNNNNNNNNNNNNUAAUACAUCUAAAAAUCUCAAAAAAUUAAGAAAAUUGUCGGCAAAAAAUAAACGAUUUUAUGUCCGCAAAUUUUUUCCGGCACCAAAUUUCCGGCGCCAAUUUUCCGGCGCCAUAUGUCGUGGACAUUUUUUGAUCAAGAUUAUACGUAUAGUGUAAUUUACAGCAUGAGUUCCACAUUUGAAUUUUAUUAUACCAGUAAAUUGUUAAACGCGUCCGAAUUUAUCAACAUGAUAAAUGCCAAAUUCGCGGCACCUAACCCUUAACCUUAAUUUUGUGUUACACAGCUUCGAUCAUGUUAUAUAUAUACCCAUUAUCAGUAACCUUGCCCGCUCAUUCAAGUGCUACAGUAUGUAUAUCUAUGCUGAAAAAAAAAAUCAAUCCAAAAAUCAAAAAAUACAAAAAUCAAAAAAUACAAAAAUCAAAAAAUACAAAAAUCAAAAAUCAAAAAAUCAAAAAAUACAAAAAUCAAAAAAUCAAAAAAUACAAAAAUCAAAAAAUCAAAAAAUCAAAAAAUCAAAAAAUACAAAAAUCAAAAAAUCAAAAAAUACAAAAACUGUUUUUGUGCUGUCGCGUCUGGGCCACCGUAGU
This 749-nucleotide long non-coding RNA is filed under the name Paramuricea clavata. Lineage: Eukaryota; Metazoa; Cnidaria; Anthozoa; Malacalcyonacea; Plexauridae. The record is from RNAcentral.